Molecule: ribosomal RNA, 892 nt
Filed under: Escherichia coli
Lineage: Bacteria; Pseudomonadati; Pseudomonadota; Gammaproteobacteria; Enterobacterales; Enterobacteriaceae
Description: partial 23S ribosomal RNA
Rfam family: Bacterial large subunit ribosomal RNA
Source: RNAcentral
CGGGACACGUGGUAUCCUGUCUGAAUAUGGGGGGACCAUCCUCCAAGGCUAAAUACUCCUGACUGACCGAUAGUGAACCAGUACCGUGAGGGAAAGGCGAAAAGAACCCCGGCGAGGGGAGUGAAAAAGAACCUGAAACCGUGUACGUACAAGCAGUGGGAGCACGCUUAGGCGUGUGACUGCGUACCUUUUGUAUAAUGGGUCAGCGACUUAUAUUCUGUAGCAAGGUUAACCGAAUAGGGGAGCCGAAGGGAAACCGAGUCUUAACUGGGCGUUAAGUUGCAGGGUAUAGACCCGAAACCCGGUGAUCUAGCCAUGGGCAGGUUGAAGGUUGGGUAACACUAACUGGAGGACCGAACCGACUAAUGUUGAAAAAUUAGCGGAUGACUUGUGGCUGGGGGUGAAAGGCCAAUCAAACCGGGAGAUAGCUGGUUCUCCCCGAAAGCUAUUUAGGUAGCGCCUCGUGAAUUCAUCUCCGGGGGUAGAGCACUGUUUCGGCAAGGGGGUCAUCCCGACUUACCAACCCGAUGCAAACUGCGAAUACCGGAGAAUGUUAUCACGGGAGACACACGGCGGGUGCUAACGUCCGUCGUGAAGAGGGAAACAACCCAGACCGCCAGCUAAGGUCCCAAAGUCAUGGUUAAGUGGGAAACGAUGUGGGAAGGCCCAGACAGCCAGGAUGUUGGCUUAGAAGCAGCCAUCAUUUAAAGAAAGCGUAAUAGCUCACUGGUCGAGUCGGCCUGCGCGGAAGAUGUAACGGGGCUAAACCAUGCACCGAAGCUGCGGCAGCGACGCUGAUGCGUUGUUGGGUAGGGGAGCGUUCUGUAAGCCUGUGAAGGUGUGCUGUGAGGCAUGCUGGAGGUAUCAGAAGUGCGAAUGCUGACAUAAGUAA